UCUGACAGAGAUGAAUGUGCCAAGCAAA
This 28-nucleotide non-coding RNA is filed under the name Cricetulus griseus (Chinese hamster). The record is from RNAcentral. Lineage: Eukaryota; Metazoa; Chordata; Mammalia; Rodentia; Cricetidae.